Molecule: ribosomal RNA, 222 nt
Filed under: Enterococcus faecalis
Lineage: Bacteria; Bacillati; Bacillota; Bacilli; Lactobacillales; Enterococcaceae
Description: partial 23S ribosomal RNA
Rfam family: Bacterial large subunit ribosomal RNA
Source: RNAcentral
AUUCGAGGUAGACGCAGAGAACUGAAACAUCUUAGUACCUGCAGGAAGAGAAAGAAAAUUCGAUUCCCUGAGUAGCGGCGAGCGAAACGGGAAGAGCCCAAACCAACAAGCUUGCUUGUUGGGGUUGUAGGACUCCAAUAUGGUAGUCUGUUAGUAUAGUUGAAGGAUUUGGAAAAUUCCGCUAAAGAGGGUGAAAGCCCCGUAGACGAAAUGCUAACAACA